GAGGCUAUAUACAGGGUGUUACGGUACAGAGUCAGUGUGGAGGCUAUAUACAGGGUGUUACGGUACAGAGUCAAUGUGGAGGCUAUAUACAGGGUGUUACGGUACAGAGUCAAUGUGAAGGCUAUAUACGGGGUGCUACGGUACAGAGUCAAUGUGGAGGCUAUAUACAGGGUGUUACGGUACAGAGUCAAUGUGGAGGCUAUAUACAGGGUGUUACGGUACAGAGUCAAUGUGGAGGCUAUAUACAGGGUGUUACGGUACAGAGUCA
Molecule: long non-coding RNA, 268 nt
Organism: Oncorhynchus tshawytscha (Chinook salmon)
Lineage: Eukaryota; Metazoa; Chordata; Actinopteri; Salmoniformes; Salmonidae
Source: Ensembl